UGACUUCGUGAGUAUGUUCUGAGGAACAUCCUCACCUAUCAAAUAUAGUAAAAGCUGUAUGAUGGUAGGGAAGCGAAGUUAGUUCUGUGUAGUGGAGGUCACUUCAUAGUGGCGGACGGGUGAGUAACGCGUGAGCAACCUACCUGCUAAGGAGGGAUAACACAGGGAAACUUGUGCUAAUACCGCAUGAUGUAUACGGAUCGCAUGUUCUGUAUACCAAAGGGAAACCGAUAGCAGAUGGGCUCGCGUUGGAUUAGAUAGUUGGCAGGGUAACGGCCUACCAAGUCUGCGAUCCAUAGCCGAACUGAGAGGUUGAACGGCCACAUUGGAACUGAGAAACGGUCCAGACUCCUACGGGAGGCAGCAGUGGGGAAUAUUGGGCAAUGGGCGAAAGCCUGACCCAGCGACGCCGCGUGAGGGAAGAAGGUCUUCGGAUUGUAAACCUCUUUCAGCAGGGAAGAAGAAAGUGACGGUACCUGCAGAAGAAGUCACGGCUAACUACGUGCCAGCAGCCGCGGUAAUACGUAGGUGGCGAGCGUUAUCCGGAAUUACUGGGUGUAAAGGGUGUGUAGGCGGGGUGUCAAGUCAGAUGUGAAAACUGUGGGCUCAACCCACAAACUGCAUUUGAAACUGAUACUCUUGAGUAGUGGAGAGGUAAACGGAAUUCCUGGUGUAGUAGUGAAAUGCGUAGAUAUCAGGAGGAACACCGGUGGCGAAGGCGGUUUACUGGACCACAACUGACGCUGAGACACGAAAGCGUGGGGAGCAAACAGGAUUAGAUACCCUGGUAGUCCACGCUGUAAACGAUGAAUACUAGGUGUGGGGAUCGUAGGAUUUCCGUGCCGCAGUUAACGCAAUAAGUAUUCCACCUGGGGAGUACGGCCGCAAGGUUGAAACUCAAAGGAAUUGACGGGGGCCCGCACAAGCAGUGGAGUAUGUGGUUUAAUUCGACGCAACGCGAAGAACCUUACCGGAGCUUGACAUCCUCGGAAGACCGAUGUAAAGUUGGUUGUGCCCCUUCGGGGGAACCGAGAGACAGGUGGUGCAUGGUUGUCGUCAGCUCGUGUCGUGA
This 1072-nucleotide ribosomal RNA is filed under the name human gut metagenome. Its description in RNAcentral is "bacterial SSU rRNA". It matches the Rfam family "Bacterial small subunit ribosomal RNA", at positions 63 to 1070 of the family's 1533-position model. The record is from RNAcentral.